This 3408-nucleotide ribosomal RNA is filed under the name Triticum aestivum (bread wheat). Its description in RNAcentral is "partial small subunit ribosomal RNA". Lineage: Eukaryota; Viridiplantae; Streptophyta; Magnoliopsida; Poales; Poaceae. The record is from RNAcentral.
AUGCUGCACACCCACUGGUGCGGCAAGGCUGAGGACGCCAUUGUCGAUGAAGACCUCAUUCUCAUCGCUUCGCUUGACGAGUUAUCGUUGUCCAUAGUGGCGGCGGCUACCGCCUUGGCAUCGACAAUUUAUUGGCACCACCAAGCUAUCAUGCAUAGGUGUGACUUGACAUUGGGGUGGUUUACCCAAGAACAAUGCCACCUUAAAUCGCAGUUGCUUUUAUCUCCGCAUUCACUAAAUGAAAUGCUGAAUCCAUGUUGUCUUUGCCUGCGCCGACUCCUUCCGCCCAGCGCCCGCCUCUUGCCCCAUGCGCUACGUCCAGUUUUGAUCCGCCGCCGCCCCUGCCUUCCUGCCCGCCUCCCUCCCCAUCGGGUGCUGCCCCUCCUCGCCGUCGACUUCCGGAGCUGCCUCCCUCCCCGUCCAGUGCCCUCCUCCUUCUCCGCCUCCCUCCCCUGUCCAGCGCCUCCGGUACCGACGCUAGCCUGGACGAACAGCGCCGAAGCUUCAGCAACGGGUUUGAUUGGAUUGUUUCAAGGAAAACCAAGAAAAGUUUAUCUAUAUUUCAACCAUUUGCAUCAUCAAUUUUCCAACCGAAGGAACUCUGAGACCACAGUCCGUGAUUCGAUCCCUCCUAUUGACCUUGCUUGGGCAUUGAAGAUGCAUAGCAGCAGCAGGGGGCACGAUAUCAUGCCUAGGGAGGUCAGCAAGAGGAGUAGGAUACACAUGGCCAAUGCACGAGAUGGUUGCGGCGCGUCACUUCCAUACGAGAUGAUCAUAGAGGUGCUGCAGUGGCUCCCCGUCAAAUCCGUCUACCGCUUCCGGGCCGUUUGCCGGUCCUGGGCUGCGCUGCUCUCCUCCGAUGAAUUCCGCCGCACCCACAUGGCAGCAGCUAAGGCCACGAGAUGGUGGGCACCACCACCACAGAUGCUACACAUCUCACCCACCACCACAUUCGACUCUACCGCGGUUUACUCGUGCUCCUUAUCGCCAUCAUCACCAUUAGGUUGCCCCAGAGAUCACGGGGACCUACUGUUCACCAUCGAUGGUGCCCGUGGCAAUUGUGUGGAAGUAGUGACACCAGCGCCGUGCCACGGCCUGACUCUCCUCUACGAUGCUCUUGACCCAGCCUACUACAUCUGCAAUGCGGCCACACGGGCUGCCACGCGUCUGCCACCUUCCACUGAUGAACGGGCAUCCAGGUCCGCUGCUGGGCUGGGGUUUGAUUCCCGUGCAGAGGAGUACAAGGUGGUGAGGUUGAUCAAUAGGGUGUUUACUCAGAAGGACUUGGUGAGGUGUGAGAUUUACACGCCUGGAGGCCGCUUCGGGGAUCACUGGAGACCACCUGCCGGAGGAAUACCCUCCAGCUUGCAUCAGUUUAUGAAACCGGCCUCUUUCAUCACGACACCGAGUGUUGCUGUUGUAUCCUUCUCGGUCACGGCUGAGACCUUCACAUGUCUCCGGUCACCACCUUUCUGGGUACCAGGAGCAGAGCCAGCCUCCAGGAAUUGGUCAUCAGGAGAGCAACUAGUGGAGAUGGAUGACCAACUAUGUUUGGUCCGAGACACUCGCAAGACAAUCCCUUAUGCUAACACUUUGGAGAUCUCGAGGCUGUCGGACUGUAGCUCUGGUGACUGGUUACUGAGUCAUCAGAUCAAUUUGUCGGGCCACCUGGCAAGAGAUUUAGGCCAGUCGCAAAUGCUGAGAAUUAUUGGAUCUUUUGGCAUCAAUAGCAGGCCGCCAAGGAAGAAGAUAAUCAUCACUAGUAGCAAGCACAAGAUUUUUGACAAUUCAAGAUUCAGUUUCAUUCAGGAGACCCUCGCUCCCGUGCAUAAAACAGAUGAAGAGAUAGCCUUAUCAUCUGACCUGGCUAAGGUGACUGGAGAGAUCCUACUCCGCCUCCCAGCUAAAUCAGCGAUACACUCCAAGUUUGUGUGCAAGCAGUGGUCCAGAUUGAUUGAGAGUGAAAAAUUCAUUCAGUCAUACUUUCAGCAUAAGAACAUGGACAAAAGACCUAAGCCUUGCCAUGGGCUGAAUUUGAUAAGCACCGAGACGAAGGACUAUCUCUGCAACCCAUGUACAGGUUUCCACAAGGGCUACUCGCUAGGGCCAAGUUUGCUGCGGAGAAUGCCUAAAACAGAAGAGCAUGCUUUCACAGUCGGCAAUAGGAAUGUUGGCCUGACUUUCGAUCCUUCGACUCAUCAACAUGUUAUCAUGGCAAUCUUCUAUCGCCGGAAGGACUUCAAAUCUCGUCAAUAUGACCUGACAUGCACGUUAUGCUGGUGUAACUCUGGGGAUCCUGCCCAACUGAACUCGGUACCGCCUCUGCCUGUGAAUGACAUGCCGCCGGCCUAUGUUGAUGGAAUGUUGUACUGGAUGAAUGAACCAAGGUUGGGACAGAGCUGCGAAUGGGCCAUUCUCUCUUUCAACCUUGCUACAAGAACCUUUGAUGUCGUCCUGUGCCCUUCGUGGUUUGCAAGAUGGAAUAGCAGAAACCGCUGUCUUGCAUUUGUUGUGGAACUGGAGGGAUUAUUGUGUGCUGUUCUAGCAGACCCAGUGGCAAACAGAUUAGAUGUAUGGAAGCUAGAGCAUGGCCAAUGGGGAAGAGCAUACACAAUUGACCUCGAGGCAUGUCCUGAUUAUUCCCUUAAGACAACUGUUGUCGUGCCAUUAGCUGUUGACCCUGAUUAUGGGAGGAUCCUGCUCAACAUUGGGCGUAAAAUAGGGCUGUAUGAUCCAGUAAAUCAGACAAUUCAAAGUUUGUAUUCACUUGAUCAGGCGCCGGUUCCUUUUGUUCCUAUGUUAUAUGAGGAGAGCUUGGCAUAUUACUCCCGUGUGCCCAAAAAAAGUGGACAUGACCGUACGGCCGCUUAUCCGCAUUCAUGUCGGCUAACCGGCGCGGCGAUCGAGAAGGCUACUCGGUCUAUUGCCCGCUUUGAAGCAGCGUCGGCCUGCCUGCCCCGGCUAUUUAAGCAGCUGGCCGGCACGGCGCAAGCCCUAAGAACAUACUUUCAGCAUAGGAACAUACCUAAGGUCAUGCUUGUUUUCAAGGGCACUGGACGAUUUGGCUUCAGUUUUGCUCCAUUGAAUAAAUGCCUCCAAGAAGCUCCUAGUCACAGUACAUUGCUUGAUACAAAGGUGGUUUGCUCCAAGCCUUGCCAUGGGCUGAACUUGGUGCCGGUUGCCAGUAGUGCACACCAAAAGUUUCUUGAUAUGCCUUCAACUUCAUCAGGGAAUAGUUCGACAUGCUCCAAAGAAGACUCAGUGGCGGAGAUGAAUAGAAUGGACUCUAAAAUGAUUCCUUUUGUUCCAUUGUUAUAUGAGGAGAGCUUGGCAUCUUACACCCGUGUGGCAUCUUACACCCUUCUUUAUAUGAAAUAUCUAUUUGUGAUAUCUUGCCUGCAUGUUUGA